CGAUCUCAGUUCGGACUGCAGGCUGCAACUCGCCUGCACGAAGUUGGAAUCGCUAGUAAUCGCGAAUCAGAAUGUCGCGGUGAAUACGUUCCCGGGUCUUGUACACACCGCCCGUCACACCACGAGAGUUUACAACACCCGAAGUCAGUGGCCUAACCGCAAGGAGGGAGCUGCCUAAGGUGGGGUAGAUGAUUGGGGUGAAGUCGUAACAAGGUACC
This 218-nucleotide ribosomal RNA is filed under the name uncultured bacterium. Its description in RNAcentral is "partial 16S ribosomal RNA". It matches the Rfam family "Bacterial small subunit ribosomal RNA", at positions 1283 to 1500 of the family's 1533-position model. The record is from RNAcentral.